ACUCCUACGGGAGGCAGCAGUGGGGAAUAUUGCACAAUGGGCGCAAGCCUGAUGCAGCCAUGCCGCGUGUGUGAAGAAGGCCUUCGGGGUUNUAAAGCACUUUCAGUCGUGAGGAAGGUAGUGUAGUUAAUAGCUGCAUUAUUUGACGUUAGCGACAGAAGAAGCACCGGCUAACUCCGUGCACCAGGCCGCGGUAAUACGGAGGGUGCGANAGUUAAUCGGAAUUACUGGGCGUAAAGCGCAUGCAGGUGGUUUGUUAAGUCAGAUGUGAAAGCCCGGGGCUCAACCUCGGAAUUGCAUUUGAAACUAGGCAGACUAGAGUACUGUAGAGGGGGGUAG
Molecule: ribosomal RNA, 339 nt
Filed under: uncultured bacterium
Lineage: Bacteria
Description: bacterial SSU rRNA
Rfam family: Bacterial small subunit ribosomal RNA
Source: RNAcentral